RNAcentral lists this long non-coding RNA (385 nucleotides) under Phoenix dactylifera (date palm). Its description in RNAcentral is "long non-coding RNA (PDAC_LNC014453)". Lineage: Eukaryota; Viridiplantae; Streptophyta; Magnoliopsida; Arecales; Arecaceae. The record is from RNAcentral.
UAUUUUUACUUCAAUGAUCAUGAAGAGCAGUGAACAUCAUAUUUAAAGUCACAGAGAUUAAAUAUGAGAUGAAAGAAAAAUAUUUAUUUAAGAGUAAGAGGGUUCAUACAACUCCAAGAAUAUAAAAAUUAAAUACAUAAAACUCGUGUCCCUUUGUUAGGGCUGCAUCCAGCCCUAGUGAAGAUCUUAGGCUUCCAUGGUACGGAGAGUAGCAGCAGCGAUGUAGAGGACCUUCAUCACGACUCGGUUCUCCCUCCUUUCUCCUGCCGGCUUCUUCUCCCUCCUGAACUUCAUUAAUUUUUUCUUUAGGAAAUCAUUCCCAAAAUACCCAAAACUACUCUCUCACCCUUUCCUUUUCUUCCCGUGAGAACUUGGCCUAUGAGAG